ACAAACACAAGAGAAACGCAAAGACAAGAAAGAGAAAAAAAAAUGAAGACAAAACCUGCAUGCAAGAAAACAUGCAACCAAUCGUAACGAAGGGAUAAAAAAACUAAAAAAACCAAAAAGUAGAAACAGCGUUAGAAGACGUAAUGAAAGGAGGAAAAGAAAUGAAAAAAUAAUAAAAUGAAAAAAUAAAAAAUGUAAAGCAAACCACCGUAGGGGCCACAGAGGCCACCACUCCUAUCACGAGAAGAACGACGACAAAAGCAUGCAAAACCAUGCAAAAACAACAAAAUCCACGUGAAGGAAACCAAAACUCCAGCGGGUAAAAGAAAGAAAGGUGAAAGAAAGUAAAGAAAC
RNAcentral lists this long non-coding RNA (354 nucleotides) under Gossypium raimondii (Peruvian cotton). RNAcentral describes it as "long non-coding RNA (GRAI_LNC008372)". Lineage: Eukaryota; Viridiplantae; Streptophyta; Magnoliopsida; Malvales; Malvaceae. The record is from RNAcentral.